AACCGCAAAAGGCUCAUUAUAUCAGUUAUGGUUCCUUAGAUCGUUAACAGUUACUUGGAUAACUGUGGUAAUUCUAGAGCUAAUACAUGCAUUAUAAACACGGACCUUUGGGACGUGUGCUUUUAUUAGGCUAAAACCAAGCGAUCGCAAGAUCGUUAUUAUGGUUGAACUCUAGAUAACUUGCAGAUCGUAUGGUCUUGUACCGACGACAGAUCUUUCAAAUGUCUGCCCUAUCAACUUUUGAUGGUAGUAUCUAGGACUACCAUGGUUGCAACGGGUAACGGGGAAUCAGGGUUCGAUUCCGGAGAGGGAGCCUGAGAAACGGCUACCACAUCUAAGGAAGGCAGCAGGCGCGUAAAUUACCCACUCCCAGCCCGGGGAGGUAGUGACGAAAAAUAACAAUACAGGACUCAUUAUAGAGGCCCUGUAAUUGGAAUGAGUACACUUUAAAUCCUUUAACAAGGACCUAUUGGAGGGCAAGUCUGGUGCCAGCAGCCGCGGUAACUCCAGCUCCAAUAGCGUAUAUUAAAGUUGUUGCGGUUAAAACGUUCGUAGUUGAACUUGUGCUUCAUACGGGUAGUAUAACUAUAAUUGUAGUCUGUACUAUACCUUAUGUAUGUAAGCGUAUUACCGGUGGAGUUCUUAUAUGUAUUAAAUACUUGUAUUUAUAUGUAUUCCUCCUAUUUAAACCUGCUUCAGUGCUCUUCAUUGCGUGCUGUUGUAGGCCGGUACAAUUACUUUGAACAAAUUAGAGUGCUUAAAGCAGGCUCCAAAUGCCUGAAUAUUUUGUGCAUGGAAUAAUGAAAUAAGACCUCUGUUCUACUUUCAUUGGUUUUUAGAUCAAGAGGUAAUGAUUAAUAGAAGCAGUUUGGGGGCAUUAGUAUUACGACGCGAGAGGUGAA
RNAcentral lists this ribosomal RNA (902 nucleotides) under Sarcophagidae sp. 02 JHY-2013. RNAcentral's name for it is "SSU rRNA". It matches the Rfam family "Eukaryotic small subunit ribosomal RNA", at positions 85 to 915 of the family's 1831-position model. Lineage: Eukaryota; Metazoa; Arthropoda; Insecta; Diptera; Sarcophagidae. The record is from RNAcentral.